RNAcentral lists this ribosomal RNA (569 nucleotides) under Bacillus licheniformis. RNAcentral's name for it is "bacterial SSU rRNA". It matches the Rfam family "Bacterial small subunit ribosomal RNA", at positions 1 to 551 of the family's 1533-position model. Lineage: Bacteria; Bacillati; Bacillota; Bacilli; Caryophanales; Bacillaceae. The record is from RNAcentral.
UUCAUGGAGAGUUUGAUCCUGGCUCAGGACGAACGCUGGCGGCGUGCCUAAUACAUGCAAGUCGAGCGGACCGACGGGAGCUUGCUCCCUUAGGUCAGCGGCGGACGGGUGAGUAACACGUGGGUAACCUGCCUGUAAGACUGGGAUAACUCCGGGAAACCGGGGCUAAUACCGGAUGCUUGAUUGAGCCGCAUGGUUCAAUUAUAAAAGGUGGCUUUCAGCUACCACUUGCAGAUGGACCCGCGGCGCAUUAGCUAGUUGGUGAGGUAACGGCUCACCAAGGCGACGAUGCGUAGCCGACCUGAGAGGGUGAUCGGCCACACUGGGACUGAGACACGGCCCAGACUCCUACGGGAGGCAGCAGUAGGGAAUCUUCCGCAAUGGACGAAAGUCUGACGGAGCAACGCCGCGUGAGUGAUGAAGGUUUUCGGAUCGUAAAACUCUGUUGUUAGGGAAGAACAAGUACCGUUCGAAUAGGGCGGCACCUUGACGGUACCUAACCAGAAAGCCACGGCUAACUACGUGCCAGCAGCCGCGGUAAUACGUAGGUGGCAAGCGUUGUCCGGAAU